This 529-nucleotide long non-coding RNA is filed under the name Hordeum vulgare. RNAcentral's name for it is "long non-coding RNA (HVUL_LNC020611)". Lineage: Eukaryota; Viridiplantae; Streptophyta; Magnoliopsida; Poales; Poaceae. The record is from RNAcentral.
GGAUAUGCAACUAUAUGAACACAAUCUGUAUGCCAAGCAAGCUCAAAGCAAAGUAAGUUAGGCAACAAUAUAAGUAGCAAGCCCACAAUCAUAAAAUGCAAAGCAAAGUGUGGAAAAUAAAAAAUCACAAGUGAGUCCGGGACACGGAUUUUAACAUGAAGUUCACACUUCAUUUGGGAAGUGCUAAUAUUCAUUGGACUCAUGUUGGUGUCAAGGCUCUAGAACGCCACCAAGCAGCUCUAUGUGUUCUCCUCAAGUCGCCACCAACGAAUGAGCCUCAAAUCAUUCAAGGUUGGUCUUGAAUGCGACUACCACACCUUUACAUAUGCCUCUGGAUCAUACGAAAAUCAAGGAAGAUUCCCGAGGAUAACUAACCGCCUAGGAUCCAAAUCACCAAGAGUGACAAGUUGGUGAAGAAAUAUCGUGGGAACAUGGAUCGGGCCUUGUGUCCUCAGUUCCCAAAGUAUCAAAGAGUUUGUGUGGAGGUACUGAGAGAUAUGAGCAAAAAAGGUUUGAGAAUGGUGGUGAC